RNAcentral lists this ribosomal RNA (468 nucleotides) under uncultured bacterium. RNAcentral's name for it is "partial 16S ribosomal RNA". It matches the Rfam family "Bacterial small subunit ribosomal RNA", at positions 28 to 507 of the family's 1533-position model. The record is from RNAcentral.
GACGAACGUUGGCGGCGUGCUUAACACAUGCAAGUCGAACGGAAAGGCCCUGCUUUUGUGGGGUGCUCGAGUGGCGAACGGGUGAGUAACACGUGAGUAACCUGCCCUUGACUUUGGGAUAACUUCAGGAAACUGGGGCUAAUACCGGAUAGGAGCUCCUGCUGCAUGGUGGGGGUUGGAAAGUUUCGGCGGUUGGGGAUGGGCUCGCGGCUUAUCAGCUUGUUGGUGGGGUAGUGGCUUACCAAGGCUUUGACGGGUAGCCGGCCUGAGAGGGUGACCGGCCACAUUGGGACUGAGAUACGGCCCAGACUCCUACGGGAGGCAGCAGUGGGGAAUAUUGCACAAUGGGCGGAAGCCUGAUGCAGCAACGCCGCGUGCGGGAUGACGGCCUUCGGGUUGUAAACCGCUUUCGCCUGUGACGAAGCGUGAGUGACGGUAAUGGGUAAAGAAGCACCGGCUAACUACGUG